This 479-nucleotide ribosomal RNA is filed under the name uncultured bacterium. Its description in RNAcentral is "bacterial SSU rRNA". It matches the Rfam family "Bacterial small subunit ribosomal RNA", at positions 30 to 502 of the family's 1533-position model. The record is from RNAcentral.
AUUGAACGCUGGCAGCAUGCUUUACACAUGCAAGUCGAACGGUAACAGGGAGCUUGCUCCGCUGACGAGUGGCGAACGGGUGAGUAAUGCAUCGGAACGUACCCAGUCGUGGGGGAUAACGUAGCGAAAGUUACGCUAAUACCGCAUACGUCCUGAGGGAGAAAGAGGGGGACCGAAAGGCCUCGCGCGAUUGGAGCGGCCGAUGUCGGAUUAGCUAGUUGGUAGGGUAAAGGCCUACCAAGGCGACGAUCCGUAGCGGGUCUGAGAGGAUGAUCCGCCACACUGGGACUGAGACACGGUCCAGACUCCUACGGGAGGCAGCAGUGGGGAAUUUUGGACAAUGGGCGCAAGCCUGAUCCAGCCAUGCCGCGUGAGUGAAGAAGGCCUUCGGGUUGUAAAGCUCUUUCAGGUGGAAAGAAAACGCAUGGGUCAAUACCCUGUGUGGAUGACGGUACCAUCAGAAGAAGCACCGGCUAACU